RNAcentral lists this ribosomal RNA (501 nucleotides) under uncultured bacterium. Its description in RNAcentral is "partial 16S ribosomal RNA". It matches the Rfam family "Bacterial small subunit ribosomal RNA", at positions 30 to 523 of the family's 1533-position model. The record is from RNAcentral.
AUUGAACGCUGGCGGCAGGCUUAACACAUGCAAGUCGAGCGGAGCGAGGGUGCUUGCACCUUAGCUUAGCGGCGGACGGGUGAGUAAUGCUUAGGAAUCUGCCUAUUAGUGGGGGACAACAUUCCGAAAGGAAUGCUAAUACCGCAUACGCCCUACGGGGGAAAGCAGGGGAUCUUCGGACCUUGCGCUAAUAGAUGAGCCUAAGUCGGAUUAGCUAGUUGGUGGGGUAAAGGCCUACCAAGGCGACGAUCUGUAGCGGGUCUGAGAGGAUGAUCCGCCACACUGGGACUGAGACACGGCACAGACUCCUACGGGAGGCAGCAGUGGGGAAUAUUGGACAAUGGGCGUAAGCAUGAUCCAGCCAUGCCGCGUGUGUGAAGAAGGCCUUUUGGUUGUAAAGCACUUUAAGCGAGGAGGAGGCUACUUAGAUUAAUACUCUGGGAUAGUGGACGUUACUCGCAGAAUAAGCACCGGCUAACUCUGUGCCAGCCGCCGCGGUAA